CCGGCGUAGCCCAACAGGUUUAGAGCAUCCCGGUAUAAAUCGGGAAAGUUGCAGGUUCGAUUCCUGCCGUCGGCA
Molecule: transfer RNA, 75 nt
Filed under: Tannerella sp.
Lineage: Bacteria; Pseudomonadati; Bacteroidota; Bacteroidia; Bacteroidales; Tannerellaceae
Description: tRNA-Tyr
Rfam family: tRNA
About the family: Transfer RNA (tRNA) molecules are approximately 80 nucleotides in length. Their secondary structure includes four short double-helical elements and three loops (D, anti-codon, and T loops). Further hydrogen bonds mediate the characteristic L-shaped molecular structure. tRNAs have two regions of fundamental functional importance: the anti-codon, which is responsible for specific mRNA codon recognition, and the 3' end, to which the tRNAs corresponding amino acid is attached (by aminoacyl-tRNA synthetases). tRNAs cope with the degeneracy of the genetic code in two manners: having more than one tRNA (with a specific anti-codon) for a particular amino acid; and 'wobble' base-pairing, i.e. permitting non-standard base-pairing at the 3rd anti-codon position.
Source: RNAcentral